GGUGUUUACGUAUCGAACGUGUUCAAUUUAUGAUACAGAGUUAUCUGAACGUUGGAGUUUAUUCUUGUAGUCUUGAUUUGUACAGUUUAAUAAAAACGAGAUAUCAAGCAGAUAAACUUCCGCUAGAGGAACAAGAUUCGGCUAUUCUACAUUGCAGAUUGCCGGCUAUCAUACUAUCGGGCAUGCAACCCGUGUGUCCGCCCUAUUUGCUAUACGACUAUUCAGCUGUUGGCAUUGAGAAAAUCCCUGCUCUGCAACUGCCGUCCGGUAGCAAUAGAUGACCCUUUUGUGUCAAAUUUCGCAGCAAGGUUCCGUCGCAAUUACGAGUUCAGCAACCUAAACCAAAAUGCUACCGUGAAAAACUACAUAAGUGCAGAUGAACAACGACACCAAGAUACAGCAGGAAGAGCCUGAAUUAGUGUCGGCAGGAUUUACCUUUCGCCUGGACACAAUCGAACUUUGUGGAUUCAAUGGAGAUGUUUCAAUCAACGCCUCAUCAAUCGAUUAGUUGACAUGCUAGCACAAAAUAAAGUCAACAGUAACAUGAUUGCUCAGCAAUAAAUUCUAAUGCAAAUUCUCAGUAAAAACCAACAUAAACAACGAAAAACAACGUUGAGAAUGCAACUGAUCCACCACAAAUGCAACAACAGCAACAAUCAACCCAAUAGCCGCGCUAUCCAUUCCAACGUGAGCUGCAGUUCCAUACCCAAAACGCAAGGCGUUUUGUGAUAAAAACGGUCGAAUUUCUGCCGCUGCCGCUGUGAUUAACAACGGCGAACCAAAUGCAACUGUGCAGCAAUUCGUACCAUAAAUUUGUCCAAACAUGCAGCGAAGUCUUUUGGUUCAUAGUCAAACUGCUAACCAGGGGGUCUCCGUAGCCACAUUGGUUGCGCGUUCGCUUAGUAAGCGAUCGAUCGUGAGUUCAAAACUCAUUGACCAUUUUUGUGUUGUUACAGAAUAGCUACGUCCACGCAACAAUCAUCAGCGAUGGAGAUCGAUCCACGGUCGAAAUAAGAUCGAUUCAUCAUCCAUACAACUGCUCUGCUCUGCCAGACACAUCGGGUUACUGUUCUAUAAAUAACUCAACAAUGAUCAAUCAACUGUCUCCGCUGUCCGGUGGUCCAACUGGAUAAUAGAAGAACAGAAAGAAUACCCUUACGCCUAAAUGGCUACUGUGUGAAUGUACCAUAUGUAAUGGUAUAGAAGGAAUACUGGCGAAUGGCAACUGUGUAAUGUGCUAAUUAUAGAUAUGAUAACCAUGUGACAUGUACACGAUUAAAAUUCGGCUCUGUUACAGCUAAAAUGCUAAUGAGCCUUAAAUAAAUAAAUGGGAUAAUAAAAAAAAACUGCUAACCGGCUGGUGACAAAUAUCCUAAUGAUACAUAUUUCUCCGCAAAGCCGACUGCAGGAGCCACUACCCUCCGUCACGCAAAAAUUGUGCCAACAGAAACGAGGUAGACCCAUGAGCGUUAGAACUUCUUAGGAAGCAUCGAAUUCUACAGAUCAAUUCUUACAUGUUACGAGAGAACUGGAUUCUUACAAUGCAGUGCAGAAAUGGUUAUCUCUUGCAAUAUUCAAAUUUAAUGUUGUUUUGUACUAUAUAUUACCGUUCCUCAUGAUCAUAUUUCAUAUGUUGUGGUUGUUCUUUUUCUUUUAUUACUUUUUAUAAUAACGUGCUUCGUUUCAUCAUUUAGGCAAGCGAAAUUUUGAUACAAAUUUUCACUGCCUGAUUUAUGUUUUGCAAAAUUGCAUCGAUUGAUUUGUCGUUAGGUUCUUCCAUUAAGUUUAUUAAUAUAAGACGAUUUUAAAUUAUGGGAACGAAUGUUCAUUCUUUUCGCUUUGUUAUUUUUUUAGACUGCAAUCGCUAAAUAAUUUCUGGAAAAGCCGUUGUUGAACCUCACCACCAGCAAACAUUAGCAUCUCAUAUAUUGCCUAAAAACUGUCUCAAUUAUUCUCAUGUGAAACUUUUACCCCUAGCUUUGCUCGAGUUUCGUGUUCAAGUAUCUAGAAACAGCGGCAGCCAAAGAGGAAAAUCGAAAAGUAGUCUCGAUGUAGCGUGCCCAUCGAGACUACUUUUAGACUACUACUUCUACGGAGGUCGGCGCUCUCGUCGAAAAAUUCCUCCGGAAGGCUGUUGGAUGGUACCCGGAACAAACGAGGUCAUUUCGAUUCUGGAUACAGCACACGCGAUAGAAGUUUCGAUUGUAAGCGUUGGUCCCAGAAGGAUCCGCACGAUAGUAAUGGCCCCUAUUCGCUCAAAUGGUCGCCCAUUCCAAUGCAUACAGGCUUCAGUGUGAAACCACCACCAGCUUCAGUUGUACCAACAGCAGCAAGAGCUACAGCUGGUCGUUCUAAUGUGGUUCUUUUGUCUGUUAGGUCUGCUCAGUGAUGAAAGCCACGGUGGUGGAGCCAUAAUAGGUUCGCUUGGGGAGCAGGCACCCCGCUGCAGGAUCAGCACGAGCGAAAGAAGCAGUCGAAUAAGGCCGACAUUUCUCCAGAAGGUGAUUUGACACUUGGUAGUGUCAAGUCCGAUGGAAAUAUGUGAACGCUAGAAAAUAUCCAACCUUAUAGUAUACCACUAUAUUUCAUUCAAAUUGUAUCUCAUAACAUCUUUCAAUACUCCAAUUACAGCUCCAACACUAACA
Toxorhynchites rutilus septentrionalis is the source of this 2645-nucleotide long non-coding RNA. RefSeq lists it as uncharacterized. The transcript is spliced from 3 exons. The record is from RefSeq and is a predicted model, not a curated record. Lineage: Eukaryota; Metazoa; Arthropoda; Insecta; Diptera; Culicidae.